RNAcentral lists this long non-coding RNA (7123 nucleotides) under Triticum aestivum (bread wheat). Its description in RNAcentral is "long non-coding RNA (TAES_LNC006297)". The record is from RNAcentral. Lineage: Eukaryota; Viridiplantae; Streptophyta; Magnoliopsida; Poales; Poaceae.
UCAAGGGUCCGUUCGUUACUAAAUAUAAGAUUUUUUAGAGAUUCCAACACAGGCUACAUAUACAGUAAAAUGAACGAAUCUAUAUUUUAAAACAUAUUUAUACAUCCGUAUGUAGUCUCUGUUGGAAUCUAUAAAAGUUCGUAUGUUUAGAAAACGGAGGGAGGGAGUAGUUCAUUAUAAGUAACUAGUAGACUGCCCGUGCGUUGCUACGGGCUACAAUAAAGUGCAUCUCUACUACUAAUAAACAAUCCAAUAUUAUCUUUUCUAAACGCACCCCAUAAAACAUACACGGAUUUAUUACCACCGCAUGAUUAGACCUAUAUUGUCCGUAGUUGCAGGGCUGGCACAAUAUCAUCCAAGAUAACUUUAUUAAGUCUAGCACAUUAAUAGUUCACCAUAAGGUCAUACCCAAAGACUAGAAGUUUGCUAAUAGUGAUGCAAUGCACGAAAAGUAAAAAUUUUGCAUGGAAUUUUUUGUUUGCACAAUGGAAUUUACAACAAUCGUGAAUUAAAACUAUUUGUACUCUAAUGGACAGAACUGCCAAAGAACAUAACUACAGGGUGAUGAUAAAUAACAUAUGGAACUGCAAGUGAGCACAGAAUGAAACACACACCCUCGGCUUCAAACCAAAGUGUUUCACAUGAGAAAUGAUUCCAUCAAUACUCCAGUCCGGCAGCGUUCAAAUAGGAGAAGUUAAAGGGAAUAGCAUUUCAACCAUGUCCCUACUGCCUUUAGAGGCAGCAACUUCAAUUGGUGUCCUACCACACUGCAAGAGUAAAUAAUAAAUAACAAAUAUAAAUACAAAAUGUAAUUGAAAGAUUUCCAAAUUAAUAUUUAGGAAUCACAGCCUAAGAUCUCAAUGAAAUGGCUGGUUGGACUUCAAGAGAAUCACUAUGAAGGACAAAUGAUAGAACAGUCUCGUUCAUCCUUCCGAACAAAAUUUGUAAGACAAGGGUUACGUCAAGUACACUAACACUAAUAACCGAGAGCUUCAACUAAUAUGUUGUAUUGCAUAGACUUUUCAAAAUAGAAUAGGAUGAAGAUGAUACAAACACCAAAAUAUACAUGGAAAGGGCAAAGAAAUCUUUGCAGAAGUAACAUUUUAUGUUUCUUUGACCAGGCUAUGAAGAAACUGGAGAUUUUUUUCAAUUCCUAAUUCAGUAGACAAGAAACAUAUACAUGACAUACUCUGCAAUUUACAGCACAGAAGAUUCAAAUUUUACAAUGUUUUGACAUCAUCUCUGCUACUAUAAACACACAGCUCUUUGUCUCUCUCCCUCCCUCUCUACACCACCGCUGCCCUUGUCGGAGCGAGGUUAUGUGGAGUCCACCUGUAAUCCCUCCUGCACUGGUGCCGGCCUCCAUUGCCCCCUGGCCGCAGAGUCAAAGUUCAGGCGAAGGGGUCCUUGGUAGGGCACAUGAUCUGAUCCUCUUCUAAGCGUCCGAUGCAUUAUCCCACACUAAAUUAUCGAGGCACUGGGACGUGCCAGCAGAAACCUCUAGGUAGUGAUGGAUUUUAGUGCCGAAUUCUUCCAUGAUUUCAGGUUGCGAUUUAUAUUGAUUUAUUUACAUUCACCGGUAUAGCUAUAUUUUUAUCCUAUAUCCGCAUUUUUUUCUUUUUUCUUUUUAGUUGUGUUGGACAUGUUGGAAGGACAGGCCUGGUGCAGUGGUGAAGUACUCCCACUUGUGCCAAGAGGUCCAAGGUUCGACGCGGCCUCUCUGCAUUGCAAUGUGCGGGGGUAAGGCUUGCCUCGUAUAAUCCCUCUCUAGACCCCACCUAGUGUUGGAGCUUCUAACAUUGGGUCUGUCCUUUUUGUGUUGGACGUGUUGACUGUGUGCAUCAUGCUAUGCAGAGGCCGGCCAUUUGCUCAGUGCAGUUGUAUCACCUCAAUAUAUCGGUUGAAUGAAAAUGUCCUUUAUUUGAAAGGCUAUACUUUUAUCAUAAAUAACUAGAAGUAAAGCACCAGUACUGAUGUUCUUCGCAUGUUUUUUUAUUUUUGUAAUCUUUGUAAAAGCAUGUGCGAAAAAAUGAUCAUACAUAACUACUCCCACCAUCCCAAAAUAAGUGUCUUUGAUUUAGUAAAAUUUUAGAAAAUUUUACUAAAUCAAAGACACUUAUUUUUGGACGGAGGGAGUACAUCUUAUAGCUUGUACACCCUAAUUCAGGAUAUAUAUAUAUAUAUAUAUGACCUGGGCACAAGAAACUUUAUACCAUCAAUUCUAAUGAUACAGGGAAAGUAAACAGUGAUGCAUAUAUUUUCUUCAUACUUGCAUCCUUUAUAAUAGGUAUUUUGUUUUGAGCAAAGGCCUUUAUAUUUCUCUUCUGUUAGGACGUUGAGCAGGACAUGGAGCAUCUGUAGAUCUAUUGAGGUAGUUAUUAGGUUCUGACUUCUGAUUGUGACCAAAAGCUCAAGUAGGGAAAUAACAUAAUCUAUUAUGCUGAUCUGAGAGUGAAAUUAUUCAGAUGGCGUUUUGGAGGUCCUCUUUACAUGGAGGUGAGAUAUCAAGCAUGAGUAAGUGAGAAUGUGAGAUGAUUGAAGAGAUUGAGGAAUAUUGGCAUAAGUUCGCCUAUGGUAUAAUAACUGGCAACUUUGAUCUACCAUAAGUUCUCUAUUUUUACAUCCUUUUACUUAUGUAUUUAGUACUUACAGUACCUAUAAUGCUUAAUCCAAGGCGCAAGAAGGCCCUCACAGAAUAAGAAGUGAAAUAAGGUUACUGAAUUCCCCUGACCAUGUGUCAUCAAGAAUUGACCGGGGUGAAUGUCAGAUGUAUAAAUACAACCUAACCAUUCCAUUUUAUAAUCCCACAUAGGUUUGAAUCGUGUAUUUUUCUUCUGUGCAACUGAAAAAUGGAUUUCGGUUAUGCACAGAAGCAGCAUCUUCUCUUCUGCUUGCUGCAUUGCAUACUGCAUAUAUAGUCGUCACAAAUGUCUUAAGCCUUGACCUUAACCAAUAAAAUGUGGGUUAUAUGUCACAAAAAUUAUUCCAUUAAAUUCGUACUAUAUAAAGAAUUUUCCUAUGGUAUAAUCUUUAAGUUACAUGACUUGUGUAUUAUUUCUCUAAUUGAUGAUCAAAGUUAAAUCUCAAAAAUGUGUAUGCCAUCUUUUUGUAGCUCAAGGAAGUAGUGUUUUCUCCUCAUGCAAGCCUAUUCCUGGUGUCAGACGAUGUGUGGGUAAGAUGAUUAUCCUAAUCUGUCAAGUGUCAAGAGUCUACAGCCUAACAUAACCUCGUAGAGAAAAAAUGGAACGAUAAUGUCAGCUAACUUACAGCAUAUGCAUGAAAAGUAGAUGAUGACAAGUGAAAACAGCAAAACAGGAAAACAAGUAAAGCUCACUUCAUCGGGAAUAUUGGGGUUAGCACCAGCAUCUAGUAAGAACUUCAUGAUGCCAGGUGAGUCAAACUUCACUGCCAACAUCACGUAACUACCACCAUCUAAGUCAAUAAAAUUCAUAUCAGCACCAGCCUGUGCAAAUGAACAACUAUUUGAUCAUUUGUUUGGGUUAAUGCUUUAUAUGUUAUAUACACAAAGAAAAUGAAGUUGUGCCUACAAAACUUUAACAAAGCUCCAUACGAAGAAAGAGUACUGACCUUAACAAGUAGCUUGACACAUUCCAACGGCUCUCUAGGCAUGGGCCUGAUGGCACGGAUGGCCCAACUCAAUGGGGUAUAACCAAGACCGUAAACCUUGUUAGGCUACGAAAAAUGGAAGAAUCAAUCACUUACACUAGUAGGAAAGAAAAGAGCGACCAGUAGAGAAAUUAAUUUUGAGAUACAUCAAUAGAGAAGUAAAGUAUACUAAUGGUGUGUUAAAUAUAUUGGUAUUUCUGAAGGGAACAGAAAGAAAUAUAUUACAUAGAAAUUAGACAUAACAUGAGCAUGUUUUACUUUAUGAUAAUUAAAUACUGUCCAUGAUGAAUUUUUGUUGUUUCAAAUACUCCCUCUUAAACUAAUAUAGGACCAUUUAGAUCACUAAAACGGUCCUAUAUUAGUUUACAGAGGGAGUACAGUGCUGAUCUUUUGUUCCGAUGGAGCACAAGAUCAAAGGCAACAAGAUCUUCCAUUCCAGUGCAUUCCCAAAUAGAAUAUACACAGAUGAAGCACGAGUACCACUGGCCACAAGAUAUUCCAUUCCAGAGUUCUCUUUUUCACCGCAAAGAAGAGAACAAAGAAACUGGUGUCUUACAUCGACAUGGUGCUCCAACAAGAUCUUAAUUAUGUCAUGGUGUUUAGAAAUAGCAGCUGCAUGCAAUGGUGUCCCUUGUGCAGAAUCUAAAUCCACAUUGAUUCCUUUUGAAAGCAGUAGUUGUACUAUUUCACAAUGUCCUGGAAAACGAGGUUUCAAAAAAGAAUGAAUGAGACAAGAAUAUUUCUCAACAUCGGAUACGAGCUUUCAGUUUUCAUUUUGCACUAAAAAUUAACUCUGGGCCACUUUUCAGUUUUGUGAUCAUGAACUGCCCAGUAACCAUUUUGGUUACCACUUAUCUCAUCAAGGACCAUGUUUUCAAAAGUGGACGGAUUGGGACUAUUCAAAUUUUCCUUGUCUAUCCUUGGAAGUAGAAGAAGUCGUCAAUUUUGAGCUUAUAAGAUUAUAAUCAAAACCUUAGAUAACAUUAGAUAUCCAACCUCAAAGUUAUUCUCUCCACACACUCGUUAAUGUUUCUUCGGCCAUCAUCCAAAUAAAAAAUAUGGCAAGUAUAUGGGAGCUUUGUUCGAUGGAAAUCACAUAAAAAAAGGCAAGUAUAUGCUAAAAUAUAAACAUCAAGCAUCACACAAGCCAAGAGAGGUGUCAUAGUAGUCAACUAUAACGAUCACAAGAGUGUGAAGGCUGUAGCUCUGUACGCUGUGAUGUGUGUUUCUUACUUACUUUAUUCAAAGAGAGAGAACCUACCAAACAAAUGUUAACAAAAUUAAGACUAAUCUUAUAAUAACUAGUUUGAAGGAAUGGGUCCAAUUUGGAUCAGUCGCCCAGAAAUGCUUACUUCUCUCACAACAACAUGGGGCAAAACCAAACAGAGAGAGGCUACCAGACAAAUGUUAACAAAUUAAUCCAAUUUGGAUCAGUCGACCCAGAAAUGCUUACUUCAUAUAACAAUGGAAAAUUGAAAGUUUAUUUUAUAACCAGCCAUAUAAAACAAAAAAAAGAAUCCUGAGACUAAUUUUCACUGACUGAGAAUUAGCAAAACCAUUACGAAAACGCUUUAUCCAGUUAUCUCUAAGGCUGAUGCUGUGCCUCCUACCACCGGUUAGGAUCCCUAUGCCUGCUAACCCACAGCUGCGGGGCCAUGUUGGUCGGAGUCUAGUGCUGCUUAUAUCCAGCGAUGUGGCUUUCUAAGGCAAAAAAUCAAAUUGACUAUGUAUGCACUGACACGUGAUAAAUAAGCAUACUUGUUGGGAAAGAGAGAGACCUUCCUUUGCAGCGCCAUGGAGAGGUGAGUGUACUUUGCCAGCUAGUGGAUCAACACCAUGAUCAAGAAGAUAUCUUGCAGCAUCAGCUCUCCCAUAUGAGGCAGAAAGGUACAGUGGCGUGUCACCUGCAACAGUCGAAAAAUUAAACAUGAGGAGUUCAACAAAUUCACGCCAAUCCUGCCCUCAAUACAAAAAGUUGUGCACAAGAGAGCCAAACGUGAAAAGAGAACUUAGCUAGUGCAGUAUCAAAUGCCUUUCCAUCUGACACAUAUUUACUGUUGACAAAAUUGCACAACGACAGACAGAGGAGACACUUCAUAUACAGUCCACAAGUGAGCCGAAGACACGUCGUUGUCAUCACCCCUUCCUUAUCGAAGCUGGGUAAACCUUAUUGUAUUAGACAGUCGAAAAGUCGUCAUGCUAAGGCCAGCACCGAAGCCAGCCAAUACAACCUGUCGGGUCAUUGCUAAUUUUUAGGAUUAUUUUGUUCAUAAUAUACCAUAAAUAGUACAAUAUCUUAUAUAUAGAUAAUGCUAACUGACGAACUUUCACCAGGAAGAAACUCCCGGCAAAUCUCCUCGCUGCCAUUUGAUCGAAAUCAAACGAUGGUAGUUUUAAAAAAAUAUUGCCUCCACAACACAAUAAUGACAUGCUAGUAUGAAGAAAUCACCAUGUCCCUAAAAUUAAAACUGUCAUAAAAAUGGUCGUAGAUGCUAACCCCUAGGCGAAUGAUCGCUAGCUAAGAGGGCCCUUCAACAUUUAUGUGUCCCUUGUUAUUACAGAAAUAAUUCUAAUAUUAAGUUACCAAGUGUGAUGAUUAGUAGACAUAAAUGAGUUAGAAAUUAUGGGUUUAAACACCCUUUGUUUCUUGCUUUGGAAAGAUAUAUACAAGUGUAUGUGUGUCUAUAUCAAGGAGGGUAUGUACUACUUUGUUUAUUUUUUUGACAUCAAGGGUCCGUUCGUUACUAAAUAUAAGAUUUUUUAGAGAUUCCAACAUAGGCUACAUAUACAGUAAAAUGAACGAAUCUAUAUUUUAAUACAUAUUUAUACAUUCAUAUGUAGUCUCUGUUGGAAUCUAUAAAAGUUCGUCGUAUGUUUAGAAAACGGAGGGAGGGAGUAGUUCAUUAUAAGUAACUAGUAGACCGCCCGUGCGUUGCUACGGGCUACAAUAAAGUGCAUCUCUACUACUAAUAAACAAUCCAAUAUUAUCUUUUCUAAACGCACCCCAUAAAACAUACACGGAUUUAUUACCACCGCAUGAUUAGACCCAUAUUGUCCGUAGUUGCAGGGCUGGCACAAUAUCAUCCAAGAUAACUUUAUUAAGUCUAGCACAUUAAUAGUUCACCAUAAGGUCAUACCCAAAGACUAGAAGUUUGCUAAUAGUGAUGCAAUGCACGAAAAGUAAAAAUUUUGCAUGGAAUUUUUUGUUUGCACAAUGGAAUUUACAACAAUCGUGAAUUAAAACUAUUUGUACUCUAAUGGACAGAACUGCCAAAGAACAUAACUACAGGGUGAUGAUAAAUAACAUAUGGAACUGCAAGUGAGCACAGAAUGAAACACACACCCUCGGCUUCAAACCAAAGUGUUUCACAUGAGAAAUGAUUCCAUCAAUACUCCAGUCCGGCAGCGUUCAAAUAGGAGAAGUUAAAGGGAAUAGCAUUUCAACCAUGUCCCUACUGCCUUUAGAGGCAGCAACUUCAAUUGGUGUCCUACCACA